AUUGAACGCUGGCGGCAGGCCUAACACAUGCAAGUCGAGCGGAUGAAGGGAGCUUGCUCCUGGAUUCAGCGGCGGACGGGUGAGUAAUGCCUAGGAAUCUGCCUGGUAGUGAGGGAUAACGUCCGGAAACGGGCGCUAAUACCGCAUACGUCCUGAGGGAGAAAGUGGGGGAUCUUCGGACCUCACGCUAUCAGAUGAGCCUAGGUCGGAUUAGCUAGUUGGUGGGGUAAAGGCCUACCAAGGCGACGAUCCGUAACUGGUCUGAGAGGAUGAUCAGUCACACUGGAACUGAGACACGGUCCAGACUCCUACGGGAGGCAGCAGUGGGGAAUAUUGGACAAUGGGCGAAAGCCUGAUCCAGCCAUGCCGCGUGUGUGAAGAAGGUCUUCGGAUUGUAAAGCACUUUAAGUGGGGAGGAAGAGCAGUAAGUUAAUACCUCGCUGUUUUGACGGUACCAAAAGAAUAAGCACCGGCUAACUUCGUG
This 484-nucleotide ribosomal RNA is filed under the name uncultured bacterium. Its description in RNAcentral is "partial 16S ribosomal RNA". It matches the Rfam family "Bacterial small subunit ribosomal RNA", at positions 30 to 507 of the family's 1533-position model. The record is from RNAcentral.